This 293-nucleotide ribosomal RNA is filed under the name uncultured bacterium. RNAcentral's name for it is "partial 16S ribosomal RNA". It matches the Rfam family "Bacterial small subunit ribosomal RNA", at positions 505 to 796 of the family's 1533-position model. The record is from RNAcentral.
GUGCCAGCAGCCGCGGUAAUACGUAGGGAGCGAGCGUUGUCCGGAUUUACUGGGCGUAAAGGGCGCGUAGGCGGUCCGUUAAGCGUGAAGUGAAAUCUCCAGGGCUCAACCCGGAAACUGCUUUGCGAACUGGCGGACUGGAGGAAGGCAGAGGUGAGUGGAAUUCCCGGUGUAGCGGUGACAUGCAUUGAUAUCGGGAGGAACACCCAUGGCGAAGGCAGCUCACUGGGCCUUUCCUGACGCUGAGGCGCGAAAGCGUGGGUAGCAAACAGAAUUAGAUACCCGUGUAGUCC